AUGGGGUUUGUUAAAGUUGUGCAGGAUAAGGCCGACUUUAAGAGAUACCAAGUGAAAUUUAGAAGAUGAUGAGAGGGUAAAACUGAUUGCUAUGCUCGGAAACGCUUGGCGAUUCAGUAUAAAAACAAAUACAACACACCCAAAUACAGGAUGAUAGUUGGUGUAACAAACAGAGAUAUCAUUUGUCAGAUCGCUUAUGCCCAGAUAGAGGGGGUAUGAUAGUCUGCACAGCGUAUGCACAUGACCUGCCAAAAUACAGUGUGAAGGUCGGCCUGAUAAAUUAUGCCACAGCGUAUUGUCCUGGCUGCUGCUGGCCUGCAGGUUUCUCAAUAGGUCUGGCCUGGACAAGAUCUAAGAAGGCGAAGUGGAGGUGACUGGUGAUGAAUAGAAUGUGGAAAGCAUUGCUGGUCGGCCAGGUGCCUUCACCUGCUAUAUGGAUGCAGGCCUUGCCAGAACUACCACUGGCAAUAAAGCUUUUGGCGCCCUGAAUGGAGCUGUGGAUGGAGGCUGGUCUAUCCCUCACAGUACCAAACAAUUUCCUGGUUAUGAUUCUGAAAACAAGGAAUUUAAUGCAGAAGUACACGGAAGGGCAUCAUGGGCCAGAAUGUUGCAGAUUACAUGUGCUACUUAAUGCAAGAAGAUGAAGAUGCUUACAAGAAACAGUUCUCUCAAUACAUAAAGAACAGCGUAACU
RNAcentral lists this long non-coding RNA (693 nucleotides) under Homo sapiens (human). Its description in RNAcentral is "non-protein coding lnc-ADAM8-3:1". Lineage: Eukaryota; Metazoa; Chordata; Mammalia; Primates; Hominidae. The record is from RNAcentral.